CAUGCAAGUCGAGCGAGAAAGUGACUUCGGUCACGAGUAAAGCGGCGAACGGGUGAGUACAACGUGGAUAAUCUACCCUAAGGUCCGGGACAACCCCGAGAAAUCGGAGCUAAUACCGGAUAAGACCACAGUAUCCGAGGAUACAGCGGUAAAAGAUUUAUCGCCUUUGGAUGAGUCCACGUCCCAUCAGGUAGUUGGUAAGGUAAAAGCUUACCAAGCCUAAGACGGGUAGCCGGCCUUAGCGGAUGAACGGCCACAUGGGGACUGAGACACGGCCCUGACUCCUACGGGAGGCAGCAGUGGGGAAUAUUGGGCAAUGGGCGAAAGCCUGACCCAGCGAUGCCGCGUGAGGGAUGAAGGCCUUCGGGUUGUAAACCUCUGUCAGGAGGGACGAUGGGACACUUGUGUCUUGACGGUACCUCCAGAGGAAGCCCCGGCUAACUCCGUGCCAGCAGCCGCGGUAAUACGGAGGGGGCAAGCGUUGCUCGGAAUUACUGGGCGUAAAGGGUCCGCAGGCUGUCAGGCAAGUUGGUUGUGAAAGCUCAAGGCUUAACCUUGGAAUUGCAUCCAAAACUGCCUGACUAGAGUCCAAGAGAGGUUGGCGGAAUUCCCGGUGUAGCGGUGAAAUGCAUAGAUAUCGGGAGGAACACCAGAGGCGAAGGCGGCCAACUGGCUUGGAACUGACG
This 686-nucleotide ribosomal RNA is filed under the name uncultured bacterium. Its description in RNAcentral is "bacterial SSU rRNA". It matches the Rfam family "Bacterial small subunit ribosomal RNA", at positions 54 to 745 of the family's 1533-position model. The record is from RNAcentral.